This 461-nucleotide ribosomal RNA is filed under the name uncultured bacterium. RNAcentral describes it as "bacterial SSU rRNA". It matches the Rfam family "Bacterial small subunit ribosomal RNA", at positions 53 to 507 of the family's 1533-position model. The record is from RNAcentral.
ACAUGCAAGUCGAGCGGAUGAAGAGAGCGUUGCUCUCUGUAUUCAGCGGCGGACGGGUGAGUAAUGCCUAGGAAUCUGCCUGAUAGUGGGGGACAACGUUCGAAAGGAACGCUAAUACCGCAUACGUCCUACGGGAGAAAGCAGGGGACCUUCGGGCCUUGCGCUAUCAGAUGAGCCUAGGUCGGAUUAGCUAGUAGGUGAGGUAAUGGCUCACCUAGGCGACGAUCCGUAACUGGUCUGAGAGGAUGAUCAGUCACACUGGAACUGAGACACGGUCCAGACUCCUACGGGAGGCAGCAGUGGGGAAUAUUGGACAAUGGGCGAAAGCCUGAUCCAGCCAUGCCGCGUGUGUGAAGAAGGUCUUCGGAUUGUUAAAGCACUUUAAGUUGGGAGGAAGGGCAGUAAGUUAAUACCUUGCUGUUUUGACGUUACCGACAGAAUAAGCACCGGCUAACUUCGUG